GUGGGGAAAUUGUGACGCGCGGACAAGCAUAUCGGCUCACAUUUUCAACGGCAUCGGCGACGGCAGGUACACACCCGGCCGUUCACAGACGUAGUAGGCUAGAGACUCGCUUGCAAUGGGGAUGAGAAGAGGAGGAGGGGAAUGAGGGAGACUCGUAGAAGGGGGUGGUUGUGCAUUUAGCGAGCUGUCGCCCCCAACCAAUUCGCCGUGUCAGCCACUGACAGUUUUCAUUCCACGCACACUCGACGUGCAAGCGGCGGUCUCCUCUUCUUGCUCGUUUCGUUCCUACGACGACGACUACGACGACGAAGACGACGACGACAACGAUGCUGAGGAUGCUGUGGCUGCUAAGGCUGUUAAAGAGAAGGAGAAGACAGCGUUCCGACCGUCGAGAUUAAUUAUUUGGUCGAAGGACCGCACGACGCGACGACAACACGUUGAAGAGUAGUCACGGACAAGCCUUUGCCCAAUCCAAGAUAUUCUUCUUCUUUUAUUCUUUCGUCUUCUUCUUCAUUUUUUCCUCCUUGUAUAUCCUUUUGUCUUACGAUCAUGGUUUCUAUUCGUUAUCGUACAGAAUUCCUUCUCUCUCUCUCGUCGGUCACUGAGUUCCAUUCCGAAAUGCGUUCCAGAAUCAGUGAUUCGAGAAGAGAUGUGAAUGGUGAGCGGUUAUCUCGAUCGAUACCUCGGAUAUUUAUUCUAUCGGAACUAUAUCGAAGAUCUCGUGAACUUUCUAUGCGGUACAUUAUAAUUAGUUAGAGAGAAACGAUCUUUUGAAGAUCUUCCUUUCGAUAAUCUGAGAAGUGGUGAGUAUACAUACACAACGAUGCCGAUAACCUGAUAAAAUUCAAAGUCUUUUUAAUCUUGCAGCUUCGAUAGUUUCGACGCAUAAUCGAUUUCUUGGGAAUGACGAAGAGAGAUUGAACUCGAUAACCUAGAUCUUUCGACGCUCGUGAUACUUCCGUAGUAUUCAUAUCCACAUACAUACUUACAGAAAAUUUUUUUUUUAAGUCAGUCUCUUUUUAAGUAUUCUUGCCUGAAGUGUCUCAUAUAAUCACGACAAAGCUUUCUUCGUUAUAAUUUUAUAUUACAAUACACGUGAAAUAUUUCAAUUCUGUUUAUAGUUUUACAAAAUACAUUAAAGUAGCAAUUCUUAUAUAUUUGUAUAAUCGUCAAUUUUAUCGUGAAAAUGAUCUUGAAAUGAUAAAUCUACUGUCUUUAGGUACGAGAAAACGAUUUAACUAACUUUGAGACUUUGGGUAAAUUCAUUUAGUUGGUUAAGUAACCAGUUAAACUAUAAAUGAUUUUAUCAUUUUACAGAAUUUGCAUAACGUUAGAUGGACUUGGCACAGUGCAUGAUGCCUGGUAGACGCCCUACGAAACAUCGAGAUUUCAACUGUAAUAAGAACACAGCACCGUUGGAAGAAGAGCAAGAAUGGAAUGCUGCACGUUGCCUUUACUUGAAUCAAGAAGCUAAGCAAUUUGAAAGUCCUGCUAUCAUCAGAGAAUUUACGUCUCUCUCGUAAUAUUGUAUGGAAAGAAGUGUGGAAUACCAUGGAAGUUAACUCGAAUAUAAUGCCUAUGGAACACGAUUAUAAAGAACCCCGACAACAUGGAGAAUUUCAAUACCGUAGCCAAAUAGCUACAAAAAAUUUUUUAUAUCCUCCCUCUUUUACUGAGCGAGCUAUGCUGGGUCUUUCAAAUAUUUUUAUU
Molecule: long non-coding RNA, 1710 nt
Organism: Vespula vulgaris
Lineage: Eukaryota; Metazoa; Arthropoda; Insecta; Hymenoptera; Vespidae
Exons: 2
Source: RefSeq, a predicted model, not a curated record